Molecule: ribosomal RNA, 460 nt
Filed under: uncultured bacterium
Lineage: Bacteria
Description: partial 16S ribosomal RNA
Rfam family: Bacterial small subunit ribosomal RNA
Source: RNAcentral
CCUACGGGAGGCAGCAGUGAGGAAUAUUGGUCAAUGGGCGUAAGCCUGAACCAGCCAAGUCGCGUGAGGGAUGAAGGUUCUAUGGAUCGUAAACCUCUUUUAUAAGGGAAUAAAGUGCGGGACGUGUCCCGUUUUGUAUGUACCUUAUGAAUAAGGAUCGGCUAACUCCGUGCCAGCAGCCGCGGUAAUACGGAGGAUCCGAGCGUUAUCCGGAUUUAUUGGGUUUAAAGGGUGCGUAGGCGGCCUGUUAAGUCAGCGGUGAAAGUCUGUGGCUCAACCAGAGAAUUGCCGUUGACACUGGGAGGCUUGAGUAUGUGUGAGGCAGGCGGAAUGCGUGGUGUAGCGGUGAAAUGCUUAGAUAUCACGCAGAACCCCGAUUGCGAAGGCAGCUUGCCAAGCCAUGACUGACGCUGAUGCACGAAAGCGUGGGGAUCAAACAGGAUUAGAUACCCCAGUAGUC